GACGAACGCUGGCGGCGUGCUUAACACAUGCAAGUCGAACGGUAAGGCUCCAGCUUGCUGGGGUACACGAGUGGCGAACGGGUGAGUAACACGUGGGUGACCUGCCCUGCACUUCGGGAUAAGCCUGGGAAACUGGGUCUAAUACCGGAUAGGACCGCACCGUGAGGGUGUGGUGGAAAGUUUUUUCGGUGUGGGAUGGGCCCGCGGCCUAUCAGCUUGUUGGUGGGGUAAUGGCCUACCAAGGCGGCGACGGGUAGCCGGCCUGAGAGGGUGGACGGCCACAUUGGGACUGAGACACGGCCCAGACUCCUACGGGAGGCAGCAGUGGGGAAUAUUGCACAAUGGGCGGAAGCCUGAUGCAGCGACGCCGCGUGGGGGAUGACGGCCUUCGGGUUGUAAACUCCUUUCACCAUCGACGAAGGGUUUCUGACGGUAGAUGGAGAAGAAGCACCGGCUAACUACCUGCCAGCAGCCGGGUAAUACAUAAGGUGCGAGCGUUGUCCGGAAUUACUGGGGGUAAGAGCUCGUAAGUGGUUUGUCUACUCAUCUGUGGAAAUCCGGGGCCUAAUUCCGGGCGGUAAGCGAUACGGCAAAACCUUUAUUAUUGUAUUUGA
RNAcentral lists this ribosomal RNA (614 nucleotides) under uncultured Corynebacterium sp. RNAcentral's name for it is "bacterial SSU rRNA". It matches the Rfam family "Bacterial small subunit ribosomal RNA", at positions 28 to 658 of the family's 1533-position model. The record is from RNAcentral. Lineage: Bacteria; Bacillati; Actinomycetota; Actinomycetes; Mycobacteriales; Corynebacteriaceae.